RNAcentral lists this ribosomal RNA (254 nucleotides) under uncultured bacterium. RNAcentral describes it as "partial 16S ribosomal RNA". It matches the Rfam family "Bacterial small subunit ribosomal RNA", at positions 524 to 776 of the family's 1533-position model. The record is from RNAcentral.
UACGUAGGGUGCGAGCGUUGUCCGGAAUUAUUGGGCGUAAAGAGCUCGUAGGCGGUCUGUCGCGUCGAUCGUGAAAACCUGCAGCUUAACUGUGGGCUUGCGGUCGAUACGGGCAUCACUGGAGUUCGGCAGGGGAGACUGGAAUUCCUGGUGUAGCGGUGAAAUGCGCAGAUAUCAGGAGGAACACCGAUGGCGAAGGCAGUGUUCUGGGCCAGUACUGACGCUGAGGAGCGAAAGCGUGGGUAGCAAACAGG